UACGAAGGGGGGCUAGCGUUGUUCGGAAUUACUGGGCGUAAAGGGCGCGUAGGCGGUGAUCUUUGUCAGAGGUGAAAGCCCGGGGCUCAACUCCGGAAUUGCCUUUGAAACGGGAUUGCUUGAGUCCGAGAGAGGAUGGCGGAAUUCCUAGUGUAGAGGUGAAAUUCGAUAGAUAUUAGGGAGAACACGGUGGCGAAGGCGGCCAUCUGGCUCGGUACUGACGCUGAUGCGCGAAAGCGUGGGGAGCAAACAGGG
RNAcentral lists this ribosomal RNA (255 nucleotides) under uncultured bacterium. RNAcentral's name for it is "partial 16S ribosomal RNA". It matches the Rfam family "Bacterial small subunit ribosomal RNA", at positions 524 to 777 of the family's 1533-position model. The record is from RNAcentral.